GACUCUCGGCAACGGAUAUCUCGGCUCUUGCAUCGAUGAAGAACGUAGCGAAAUGCGAUACUUGGUGUGAAUUGCAGAAUCCCGUGAACCAUCGAGACUUUAAAUAGGUAGGACGGCGCGGCUGCUCUGUUGAGCCGUGCCACGGAAUCGGGAGCUCCA
This is a ribosomal RNA of Arachis stenosperma, 159 nucleotides long. RefSeq annotates it as 5.8S ribosomal RNA. The transcript has a single exon. NCBI's taxonomy places the organism in Eukaryota, Viridiplantae, Streptophyta, Magnoliopsida, Fabales, Fabaceae. The record is from RefSeq and is a predicted model, not a curated record.